GAUGAACGCUGGCGGCGUGCCUAAUACAUGCAAGUCGAGCGAACAGACGAGGAGCUUGCUCCUCUGACGUUAGCGGCGGACGGGUGAGUAACACGUGGAUAACCUACCUAUAAGACUGGGAUAACUUCGGGAAACCGGAGCUAAUACCGGAUAAUAUAUUGAACCGCAUGGUUCAAUAGUGAAAGACGGUUUUGCUGUCACUUAUAGAUGGAUCCGCGCCGCAUUAGCUAGUUGGUAAGGUAACGGCUUACCAAGGCAACGAUGCGUAGCCGACCUGAGAGGGUGAUCGGCCACACUGGAACUGAGACACGGUCCAGACUCCUACGGGAGGCAGCAGUAGGGAAUCUUCCGCAAUGGGCGAAAGCCUGACGGAGCAACGCCGCGUGAAUGAUGAAGGGCUUCGGAUCGUAAAACUCUGUUAUUAGGGAAGAACAAAUGUGUAAGUAACUAUGCACGUCUUGACGGUACCUAAUCAGAAAGCCACGGCUAACUACGUGC
RNAcentral lists this ribosomal RNA (498 nucleotides) under uncultured bacterium. RNAcentral's name for it is "partial 16S ribosomal RNA". It matches the Rfam family "Bacterial small subunit ribosomal RNA", at positions 28 to 508 of the family's 1533-position model. The record is from RNAcentral.